RNAcentral lists this ribosomal RNA (206 nucleotides) under Klebsiella pneumoniae. RNAcentral describes it as "partial 23S ribosomal RNA". It matches the Rfam family "Bacterial large subunit ribosomal RNA", at positions 2110 to 2315 of the family's 2925-position model. The record is from RNAcentral. Lineage: Bacteria; Pseudomonadati; Pseudomonadota; Gammaproteobacteria; Enterobacterales; Enterobacteriaceae.
CUUGACACUGAACAUUGAGCCUUGAUGUGUAGGAUAGGUGGGAGGCUUUGAAGCGUGGACGCCAGUCUGCGUGGAGCCGACCUUGAAAUACCACCCUUUAAUGUUUGAUGUUCUAACGUUGGCCCCUGACCGGGGUUGCGGACAGUGUCUGGUGGGUAGUUUGACUGGGGCGGUCUCCUCCCAAAGCGUAACGGGGGAGCACGAAG